This 459-nucleotide ribosomal RNA is filed under the name uncultured bacterium. RNAcentral's name for it is "partial 16S ribosomal RNA". It matches the Rfam family "Bacterial small subunit ribosomal RNA", at positions 338 to 795 of the family's 1533-position model. The record is from RNAcentral.
CCUACGGGUGGCAGCAGUGAGGAAUAUUGGUCAAUGGGCGAGAGCCUGAACCAGCCAAGUCGCGUGAGGGAAGACGGUCCUAUGGAUUGUAAACUUCUUUUGUCGGGGAGCAAUAGAGGCCACGCGUGGCCUUCCGGGAGUAACCGGAGAAAAAGCAUUGGCGUACCCCGUUACAGCCGCCGCGGUAAUACGGAGGAAGCCAGCCUUAUCCGGAUUUAUUGGGUUUAAAGGGUGCGUAGGCGGAAGAUCAAGUCAGCGGUAAAAAUGUGAGGCUCAACCUCGUCGAGCCGUUGAAACUGGUGUUCUUGAGUGAGUGAGAAGUAUGCGGAAUGCGUGGUGUAGCGGUGAAAUGCAUAGAUAUCACGCAGAACUCCGAUUGCGAAGGCAGCAUAGCGGCGCUCAACGGACGCUCAUGCACGAAAGUGUGGGUAUCGAACAGGAUUAGAUACCCGAGUAGUC